Molecule: ribosomal RNA, 343 nt
Filed under: uncultured bacterium
Lineage: Bacteria
Description: bacterial SSU rRNA
Rfam family: Bacterial small subunit ribosomal RNA
Source: RNAcentral
CAUACGAUCUAUGGAUGAAAGCGGGGGAUUCUUCGGAACCUCGCGCGAUUGGAGCGGCCGAUGUCGGGAUUAGCUAGUAGGUGAGGUAAAGGCUCACCUAGGCGACGAUCCGUAGCGGGUCUGAGAGGAUGAUCCGCCACACUGGGACUGAGACACGGCCCAGACUCCUACGGGAGGCAGCAGUGGGAAUUUUGGACAAUGGGCGCAAGCCUGAUCCAGCCAUGCCGCGUGAGUGAAGAAGGCCUUCGGGUUGUAAAGCUCUUUCGGCCGGGAAGAAAUCGCAUUCUCUAAUAUAGGAUGUGGAUGACGGUACCGGACUAAGAAGCCACCGGCUAACUACGUG